UGCAAGUCGAGCGGUAGCUCCUAUGAGUUAAAAGCUUAUAGGAGUGAGAGCGGCGCACGGUGAGUAACACGUAGGUAACCUACCCCAGAGAGGGGGAUAACACCUCGAAAGGGGUGCUAACCCCCAUAUACUUACCGAGCGUAAUAGCUCAGGUAAGGAAAGAGUAUAAGGAGGCACUCCUUAUGCUGCUCUGGGAUGGGCCUGCGGCCUAUCAGCUAGUUGGUGGGGUAACGGCCACCAAGGCUAAGACGGGUAGCCGGCCUGAGAGGGUGGUCGGCCACACUGGGACUGAGAACGGCCCAGACUCCUACGGGAGGCAACAGCCGGGAAUCUUCCGCAAUGGGGGAAACCCUACGGAGCGACGCCGCGUGAGGGAAGAAGCCCUUCGGGGUGUAAACCUCUUUUCUCGGGGAGAAAGCUGACGGUACCCGAGGAAAAAGCCCCGGCUAACUACGUGCCAGCAGCCGCGGUAGACGUAGGGGGCGAGCGUUGUCCGGAUUUACUGGGCGUAAAGGGCGUGUAGGCGGCUUGCAAGUCAGAUGUGGAAGCCCUGAGCUCAACUCAGGGAGGUCAUCUGAUACUGCUAAGCAGAGGGCAGGAGAGGAGGGCGGAACUUCCGGUGUAGCGGUGAAAUGCGUAGAUAUCGGGGGAACACCGAAGG
Molecule: ribosomal RNA, 661 nt
Filed under: uncultured Dictyoglomota bacterium
Lineage: Bacteria; Pseudomonadati; Dictyoglomota
Description: bacterial SSU rRNA
Rfam family: Bacterial small subunit ribosomal RNA
Source: RNAcentral